UACGUAGGGGCUAGCGUUAUCCGGAAUUACUGGGCGUAAAGGGUGCGUAGGUGGUUUCUUAAGUCAGAGGUGAAAGGCUACGGCUCAACCGUAGUAAGCCUUUGAAACUGGGAAACUUGAGUGCAGGAGAGGAGAGUGGAAUUCCUAGUGUAGCGGUGAAAUGCGUAGAUAUCGGGAGGAACACCGGUGGCGAAGGCGGCUUUCUGGCCAGUUACUGACGCUCAUGCGCGAAAGCUGGGGUAGCGAACGGGAUUAGAUACCCGUGUAGUCCCUGAGCGGGCUGG
RNAcentral lists this ribosomal RNA (284 nucleotides) under uncultured prokaryote. Its description in RNAcentral is "partial 16S ribosomal RNA". It matches the Rfam family "Bacterial small subunit ribosomal RNA", at positions 524 to 819 of the family's 1533-position model. The record is from RNAcentral.